RNAcentral lists this microRNA precursor (68 nucleotides) under Bombyx mori (domestic silkworm). RNAcentral's name for it is "mir-2774 microRNA precursor family". It matches the Rfam family "mir-2774 microRNA precursor family". Lineage: Eukaryota; Metazoa; Arthropoda; Insecta; Lepidoptera; Bombycidae. The record is from Rfam by way of RNAcentral.
ACUACGUUCGGACCGUCGGUCUACCGAGCAAUAUCACCCGCUCGGUGGAAGAUCUUUCCUUUCGUCGU